CAGCACUGCCUUUGUGCCUCUGUGUGUUAGCAGCCCUGAGGUGGGGAGAGGUUGGCCCAUUUGGCAGAGGGCAACUGAGGCUCAGCAUAGGGGAUGCUGCCCGUCCUCUGAGAAGUCACUGCUCCUUAGGGCUACAGUUUCCCCCUGUAUGAAAUGAGAUACUCACAGCCCCUACUUCAUGGGUGGUUGUAAGAGCCUAGCUCAUAGGGCUACGCCACACCCGCUUGGGCAAGGACUGUCAUCGUCCUUAUCCACAUUCCCCUGUGGAACCUCCCACCAGGGAAAGGAUCCCAAUCCCAGCACCUGCUCUACAAGUUGCCAAGACCAGCCAAGCACCCCUGCCCCUGCCCCCUGCUCCAGGUUUCUCUAGAUCUACUGCUCGCCAGGACCUGGGCUCAGUGUCAGCCCCUGAGGUGACCUUCCAGAAGCCAGCCCUGGGGUCUAAUCCUCCCCUGCCAGGAUACCCUUCCAGGAAGCUUCCUCACCCCUUCCUCAGCAGCCGCUCCCCUGGGUGACUUGUCCCAGCCUGCCCCCCCAGCACUAGGAUGACAGUGUCUGUGGGGGGGCCAGGAGUGAUGAUGCACACCUGAGACACUGAGUACUUGUGCAUGGUAAAACUGAUGUUCACAGAGAAA
Long non-coding RNA from Suricata suricatta (meerkat), 635 nucleotides. RefSeq lists it as uncharacterized. The transcript has 2 exons. The record is from RefSeq and is a predicted model, not a curated record. Lineage: Eukaryota; Metazoa; Chordata; Mammalia; Carnivora; Herpestidae.